This is a long non-coding RNA of Hippocampus zosterae (dwarf seahorse), 2015 nucleotides long. RefSeq lists it as uncharacterized. The record is from RefSeq and is a predicted model, not a curated record. The transcript has 2 exons. NCBI's taxonomy places the organism in Eukaryota, Metazoa, Chordata, Actinopteri, Syngnathiformes, Syngnathidae.
CUACAUCUAAUGUAGUUAUCAUCAACAUAGCCACAAAACGGAGUCACUCAUUGGCUUCUUGUCCCUCAGAUUCAGUAGCGGGUUACUCCUGAACUCCUGGCAGCCACGUUGGAUUCCACAUCGAAGCGGCAGGGACCGUUUCGUCCUUGAUGCUGCAGGAAGAAAAUGAGUGUGGUGCUACGGUCUGGCUAACUCGCCCUCCAAAACAAAGCAUAGAGCAGGUAACAGAGAUUCUCUUGUCUACUUCUGUCCCGCAGCCAAACAUUUCUCCCACUUGUGAGCAGGAGUACCUUGAUAGUGGCUGGGCGGGUUUUCACAAAAACUGGACCGGCGUGUUUUUUUUUUUUAAACACUUCCUGAAUUACCGGGCCGUCUAAACUAUGCAAACAAUGCAUGUUGGUGAGUACAUGCGUGAUUGAGCAUGCUUGUCAUUCAUCUGUUUUGGUUUCGCCAACAUGGCCGUGACCCACAUGACUGAGGUGCCUUUACAACACGCUAUCUCCAAAUGUUACAUAUUAUCUACGUUGCACAAGAAACGGCUAAGAAGCACGUCAUAUUUUGCUUUGGAGGGAAGGAGAUGAACAGCACUUCAAAGUGGAAGUAAAAAUAAACAAUGCUUCAAUAGACACACACACACACACACACACGCACACACACACACACAUGAGUGAGGAGACUCCGACUCCUAUAAGAACAGCCACAUUGCAAGACUUUACCUGUACCAAUUUCGUUAUUCGUUUGAUGUACAUUCUUCACAAUGAGCUGUAUUUUAGUUUUUACAUGAUCUUUAGCACUCUUCUAUUACGUACGUGUCUACUUUCCUUCACUGCAUUACCUACUGUCAUUUGUUCAAGUAUUAUGACACCAUAGCAAAGACAAAUUACUGCUUAUUUUUCAAUGCAGUCUGUCCCAAAAGUCACAAUAUUGUCCAUUUCCUUUUUUCCAUUUCAUUCUAGUAAUCAGUCGGACAGACGUAAGACCGUUCGCAUUUGACAGUUUCGGGUUUGAAGUUCCCGACUGCAGUUUAGCAUAAGUUUGAGAAGCAGGUAAUACAAUGAAUGCUAUCCGUGGCAAGCGUCUGGAAAAACGGAUAGGUUUCACCAAACUCCUCGGAAAGGCGGUCAUGCAAAGCGAGGGAAAGUUUAUCCAGAGGGCUGUGCUGGACGACAGCACCAACUAAAAUCUCAAUUCUGCGGAUGCCUCGGAGAUUGAGAAAGCUUUACCCACACCGACUGCAGGUCGUUGAAUGUCAUAAUCUUCCACUUGAAGCCUCAAAGCUUCUCAAACUGGCACUAAACUGCAGUCAGGAACAGAAAAAACUUCUUGCCAGCAGAGAAUUUUGCAACGCUGCUCCAAUGAGCCAUGGCCAGGGGAAUGAUAUGCUUACAAAAACUGCAAAGCCUAAGCUGUCAAGUGCUGAUGCUCUCACUUCUGUCUGAAUGAUACCUGAAAUGAAAAGGGAAGAAGUUGUCGUGACCUUCGGGACAUCCAGAAUGGCUGACCAAAAUAAUUCAGGUCAGUUAUUCUCUGUAUGAUACUUUCACAUAUUUUUAUGCCAUGUUUGUUGCCAUGCCAUGCAUGUUUGCCAAUUUGUUAAAAUUUGGAGGAAUGAGAAGUAGCAAUACAUGAUUACUAUUGUAGUACUAGUAGUCUUGUUUUGUCACUACAACUGGAUGUUAAACAAAGCUUCAGUUUCACAAUUACCUGAAAUCAUACUUUUACCUACCCUGCUCACCAAAAAUAUUGAAACAGUGAGCCUGAUUCCUUUAUUACCGUUGACUGAAAACAUAUGGGCUUUCGCAUUUUCUGAUUAACUUUAAAUAGUACCAAGGUUGUCUCCCAAAAAAAAAAGAAAAAAAAUCUGAAACUGAGCAUAGAAAGAUCACUGUGAUAGGACCCGGGUAACAAAACUCACCCCUUUGUGUGAAAAAUGAGUGGGCUGAAACACAAGGUGCUAUCUCCCAAGUUGGGUUGUGGUGCGGCUUCCAAAAGGGAAAUAAAAGCUUCAACUUGUA